RNAcentral lists this long non-coding RNA (1298 nucleotides) under Triticum aestivum (bread wheat). Its description in RNAcentral is "long non-coding RNA (TAES_LNC022003)". Lineage: Eukaryota; Viridiplantae; Streptophyta; Magnoliopsida; Poales; Poaceae. The record is from RNAcentral.
AACAUGUAAGUCUAGCAUUGUUUCGAUCAUUAUUAGUUUAACACUGAAUAAUAUUAAAUAUAUACAGAAAAUUUAGCAACACAAAAUUAGUUUCCUACAUAUACAUGGGAUGACAUUUAGGUGGAUAGUGAAAUAACUAUACAGAAAGGAGGAAACUUUAUAGCAGAUCCACAUACUUAUUGAGUAAUCCCCUAUCAUCUGCCCUUUACAUCGUCGUCCUUUUUCUCAACACUUCAUCUCCCUGCCAUGCGCUACGUCUGCACCAAACAUGAGCAGCCACAUUAUGAGAUGGAUUCAGAAUAGCUUACCAUUGCAGCAAGAAAACAUUUUCUUGCAUCAGGAAAAGACCUUGAUUUUAUUUAAGUCGUACAGUGAGCAGUCAAGUAACAUGCACUAUAGCAGAUCCUGUUCUGCCCCAACCAGGCAAGUCUCUUCAAGUACUAAUGAUGAAUGUUCUUCUUUAUUCCCCAUCCAAAUACCAAAAUGGCAAAUUGUUUAGGAGAAUAACAUUGUCAGUUGGAGAAGGUUGUUCUUUGCUUAUUGGUCAUCGGGACCCAACUUUUACACAGAAAACACAUGAAACAGAAGAUAUACUGUACUAAGGUGAAUGCAUCAAUCAUGAGACAAACUAAAAAAUUCAUACACACACAGACAAAUUAUGGUGCUGAUACUGAGACGUUAGUGUGCGCCUACCUUAAAUUGCAUGUAUCUUCCUAUUCGUUUCUUCAGUUCAAGGGAUCCUACUGCUCGAGUGUCAGUGUGUCCAUCCCGCUUGAAUGCCUCAUCUCAAUUUGUGGUGAUUCUAUCAGUCCCGGAGUAACUUGCCGCGCCUUGGUUGUCGAACACAGCAAAGAGGUGCACCAAAAGGCAGAGCGUGUCGGCAUCGAGCCCCAGCCCGUCAAGGUCGCGGCGGCAUAUUGAUGUCAGGAAGAUCUACGUGUUAUUUGAGGCAUAAACUGGGUUACAGACUGCAAGAAUUCUUUCCAAUCGAAUCAGCCACAUCCAUCUCGAACAAAUUAAGUAAGAAAUAAUAACCUGAAACUAUGAGUGCUCAACACCUGCUGCAGCUCCAAUGGUAAUCCCCUCCUAGCACCAGCAGAUCGAGCUACUGGACGCAAGCGUGUGUCAAGGUUUCCUAGUUAAUUUGGUCAACUGCUCAAUUUCAAAAGGGGAUUUGGCUUUACAAGGAGUAGCUGGGUGACUUUCAGGUGUGCAGCACAGUACCUUGUUCGUGCUUGGGGCUCGGGGAGGAGGCCGGCAGGAGCUUCGGGAGGGCGCCGGCAGCAGGAACUUGGGGA